Molecule: ribosomal RNA, 366 nt
Filed under: uncultured eukaryote
Lineage: Eukaryota
Description: partial 18S ribosomal RNA
Rfam family: Eukaryotic small subunit ribosomal RNA
Source: RNAcentral
CAAUAGCGUAUAUUAACGUUGUUGCAGUUAAAAAGCUCGUAGUUGGAUUUCUGGAGGGAGCGUCGGCCCGUAUUUACGAGUGCGUGACGUCUCUGUCCAUCCUUGCGGGAAGGCACGGCAUUGAUUUGUUGUGUCGGAUCGCAUCAUUUACUGUGAAAAAAUUAGAGUGUUCAAAGCAGGCUUUCGCUUGAAUACAUUAGCAUGGAAUAAUAUGAUAGGACUUUGGUGCUAUUUUGUUGGUUGAGCCUAAAGUAAUGAUUAAUAGGGAUAGUUGGGGGCACCUGUAUUGCGUUGUCAGAGGUGAAAUUCUUGGAUUUACGCAAGACAAACAGCUGCGAAAGCGUCUGCCAAGGAUGUUUUCAUUAA